This 74-nucleotide transfer RNA is filed under the name Ailuropoda melanoleuca (giant panda). It matches the Rfam family "tRNA". Rfam says of the family: Transfer RNA (tRNA) molecules are approximately 80 nucleotides in length. Their secondary structure includes four short double-helical elements and three loops (D, anti-codon, and T loops). Further hydrogen bonds mediate the characteristic L-shaped molecular structure. tRNAs have two regions of fundamental functional importance: the anti-codon, which is responsible for specific mRNA codon recognition, and the 3' end, to which the tRNAs corresponding amino acid is attached (by aminoacyl-tRNA synthetases). tRNAs cope with the degeneracy of the genetic code in two manners: having more than one tRNA (with a specific anti-codon) for a particular amino acid; and 'wobble' base-pairing, i.e. permitting non-standard base-pairing at the 3rd anti-codon position. Lineage: Eukaryota; Metazoa; Chordata; Mammalia; Carnivora; Ursidae. The record is from Rfam by way of RNAcentral.
GCCUGGCUGGCUCCGUCAGAUAGAGCAUGUGACUCUUGAUCUCGUGGUUGUGAGUUCAAGCCCCACUUUGGGCA